RNAcentral lists this unclassified non-coding RNA (209 nucleotides) under Hevea brasiliensis (rubber tree). The record is from RNAcentral. Lineage: Eukaryota; Viridiplantae; Streptophyta; Magnoliopsida; Malpighiales; Euphorbiaceae.
AUUGUAGUUCAAUAAGUGGUGGAAACCUAGCUGGAACUGAGUCGGUUAAGCCGGAACCUACCGGCAGUGAAGAGAGUCAUAGCUCAAAAUCAAGAGGUAAAGAAAUUGGUUCACUUCCCCAAGGUAGUGAAGUUGCGACCCCAAAACUGGAUGGACAACUGAAGUCAAUUCCCAUACCCAAACUUUUUGUGGCUAAUGAAAUAUUCGAU